AAGCUCAGACAUUUCAUUCUCUCUGUUUUCUCCCUUCUUCUCCCAGGCUACUAUCAUUGGAGUAAUAGAAGGAAGAAGAGAUCAACAGGCGAGUGAGAGUCCAUGGACAAAUGCUAGUGAUGGUUUCGCAAUUGAUACGGCUCUGAAGACAAAUAUUCUUCCUGGUGCUGUUGCAGAGGUUGGACUGCUCUGUUUUGUGUCUGUGUUCACUCAAACCCAGAAGAAGAAGUUAGUCAACGUGUUGAGCCAAUAUUACUUUCUGUGAUAUCUUCUUUGAAAGGAACACCACGCACUGGAUUUUUAGGAGGAGGAACUUUUGAUGCUUCUGCUUCAUCAAAGGCACCUUUCUUGGUUAGGUCCACAAUUUCACCAGCUCUUGAGGCUGCAAUUGACUAUCAACUUAAGAUAUUGCCAGUUUGCAUCACAUAAGGAUCAAUUCAAAGAAGCUAUCUUCUUUGCUUUUGACUCACCAUCUUGGAAGGUCUUUUUAUUUCCAUGCUUAUAUUGUUUUUUUUUUCAAAUAGGUUGAUUAUGUUAUAAAUAAACGUGAAUAAUUGUGGUUAAUAGUGGAAUUUCCAUUGGUUCCUAAUCUAUUUGAUUGUAUCUACGUUGUCCAUUAUAAU
Vigna angularis (adzuki bean) is the source of this 623-nucleotide RNA transcript. It is a transcript of the gene named proteasome activator subunit 4-like, with no coding region annotated. The record is from RefSeq and is a predicted model, not a curated record. NCBI's taxonomy places the organism in Eukaryota, Viridiplantae, Streptophyta, Magnoliopsida, Fabales, Fabaceae. The transcript has 3 exons.